Molecule: unclassified non-coding RNA, 329 nt
Filed under: soil metagenome
Description: partial contains 5.8S ribosomal RNA, internal transcribed spacer 2, and large subunit ribosomal RNA
Rfam family: 5.8S ribosomal RNA (bases 1-120)
Source: RNAcentral
GAUGAAGAACGUAGCGAAAUGCGAUAAGUAGUGUGAAUUGCAGAAUUCAGUGAAUCAUCGAAUCUUUGAACGCACAUUGCGCCCCUUGGUAUCCCGAGGGGCAUGCCUGUUCGAGCGUCAUUUCACCACUCAAGCCUGGCUUGGUGUUGGGCGACGUCCCCUUUGGGGACGCGCCUCGAAACGCUCGGCGGCGUGGCACCGGCUUUAAGCGUAACAGAAUCUUUCGCUUUGGAAGUCGGGGCCCCGUCUGCCGGAAGACCUACUCGCAAGGUUGACCUCGGAUCAGGCAGGGAUACCCGCUGAACUUAAGCAUAUCAAUAAGCGGAGGA